RNAcentral lists this ribosomal RNA (463 nucleotides) under uncultured bacterium. RNAcentral's name for it is "partial 16S ribosomal RNA". It matches the Rfam family "Bacterial small subunit ribosomal RNA", at positions 28 to 507 of the family's 1533-position model. The record is from RNAcentral.
GACGAACGCUGGCGGCGUGCUUAACACAUGCAAGUCGAACGGUGAACCUCUUCGGAGGGGAUCAGUGGCGAACGGGUGAGUAACACGUGGGCAACCUGCCCCCGGCUCUGGGAUAACUCCAAGAAAUUGGGGCUAAUACCGGAUGUUCACCGCUUCCCGCAUGGGUGGUGGUGGAAAGGGGUUCCGGCUGGGGAUGGGCCCGCGGCCAAGCAGCUGGUUGGUGGGGUAGUGGCCGACCAAGGCGACGACGGGUAGCCGGCCUGAGAGGGUGACCGGCCACACUGGGCCUGCGACACGGACCAGACUCCAACGGGCGGCAGCAGUGGGGAAUUUUGCGCAAUGGGCGGAAGCCUGACGCAGCGACGCCGCGUGGGGGAUGCCGGCCUUCGGGUUGUAAACCUCUUUCAGCAGGGACGAAGCGCAAGUGACGGUACCUGCAGAAGAAGCCCCGGCCAACUACGUG